Long non-coding RNA from Sardina pilchardus (European sardine), 347 nucleotides. RefSeq lists it as uncharacterized. Lineage: Eukaryota; Metazoa; Chordata; Actinopteri; Clupeiformes; Clupeidae. The transcript has 3 exons. The record is from RefSeq and is a predicted model, not a curated record.
CUGAGACUCAAGGAAAUGACAAGAGAAUAAAACUCAACACUGAGUGAUGUGAACAUCAGAGUCUAGAGAGACUCUCCCGCUGCUGCUGCCAGGAUGAGUGACAGCAGUGAUCAGGAGAGAGAGCAGGCUGCAGGUCUCAGACCAGAGGAUGUGCUACUCCGGUGGAUGACCUUGAAGAAAGACAAGAAAGUGGAUCCUAACAUCAAAUUAACACACUCUGUUGAUGAUGUUGACCCACAGACACACAGACCUCCAUCUCCAGUGCCCAGCUGUGUGUCCAUGAAGAGUGAUGCGUCCAUGUGUGAUAUGCCCCAAUUCAGCAGUGAACCAGUUCCAUCAGGUCUAAA